AGCCAACACAAAACAUCUCUGGGAUAUCGCCAAAAAUCUCAUACAAUGCCACCCUGAGAGUACUAAUGCAACUUCGCAUAGAAUACAGUGUGAUUAAACUUUGUAUUCUUUAUUCUCUUGUGACCUCUCAUAGAGUUAUUUUUGUGAAGUAAAAAUUAUAACAUGAAAGUACUUUAGACUCUCAUAUCGAGUCGCAUUAACUCUCAUUUUGGGAGGAAAAUCUGCAAAAUCACAUUGAUUCAUUUGUGAGGCUUAAAAUGACAUAUUUUCUAUUUUUAAACGUAAACUGCUGUUGAUGGCGUCAUUGAACUGCAACGUGGGUGUGGUGUAUCGUGUACCUAUAUUGUGUAGCAACAAGCACGUAGCACUGAGCAAAUAUUUCCUUUUCCAGUUGUGUUCCAGUUGCAUGUUGCCAUUGUUGCGCCUUGUACGUUCAUUAAGAGAAAAUCUACAGCCUAAUAAAAGGUAUCAAGGUAAGUUUAUACACCACAAUUUUUACCUACUGUUUUUUGUUGUAUUGACGUUUGCUGCUUGUGUAAUUAAAAAAUGCCCCGUCGUAACCUCAAACCUAUGCAGUUAUUAAGUUCGCGCCAAAAAAGAAGACGGAAGGCGAGCACUAUUAAUUUCUUUUCACCUUUGCCACAUCCCGUUUGCCAAUCUUCCCUUGAAGCUAUUGAUUCUUUUCCUGGUUGUUUACAAAAUGAUUCAGAUUCCCCGGACCCGGUGCAUAGGCCAGUUUCAUGUCUCGCACCUUCUUUCGAAGAAGAAACAGUUCAUAAUUUGUGCCAACCUUCUUGUUCUACUACUUUCUGUGAUAAUGGCGAAGUGAUUGAUUUGAAUUUACAUGAUAAUUUUAACAACCUCGGAGCUGGGUGUGCCAUCACUUCUCCAACCGUUAUUCACACAUUAUCAGACGAUUUGAGACAGUGGAUAGUGGACACGAAUAUCAGUCAUGAAAAUGCGAAUAGGUUACUUUUCAUACUAAAGAGGCAUGGUAUACAAAAACUUCCAACAGAUGUAAGAAGUCUCCUCAAGACACCACGAGUGAUUAAAACAGUUAGUGUUCCGCCUGGAAAUUAUGUUCAUUUUGGCAUUAAAGAGAGUAUUACAUUCUUUGCAAAAAUAUUACUCAACAAUAGCUCCUCCGGCAACAAUUUAUUUAGAUUUUAAUAUUGAUGGUCUUCCGAUCGCAAAAAGUAGUACAAGUCAGUUUUGGCCAAUUCUCUCUGCAAUUGCAAAGACAGAGUUUUACUGUGAACCUUUCGUAAUAGGUAUUUACCAAAAUUCAAUAAUUCAAAUAAGCCAAAUGAUCCCAAUUAUUUUUAAAAAAUGUUUGUAGAAGACUUACAGGAAUUAAUUUUGUCAGGCAUUUCUUACAAAAAUAUUAACAUAAAAAUUGCACCACAUGUCUUCAUUUGCGAUGAUCCAGCGAGAGCUUACAUUACCCUAGUCAAAAAUCAUACUGGUUAUAAUUCGUGUCAAAAUGCAUCACGGAGGGUGAAUAUUACAGCAAUAAAGUAUUUUUUCCUGAAACUAAUCAAGACUUUACGGACAGACGAAACAUUUAAAAAUAAAGUUGAUGAUGAGUACCAUAAGGGCACAUCAAUAUUGGAAUUAUUAUCAAUAGGAAUGGUUUCUCAAUUUUGCAUCGAUUAUAUGCACUGUGUCUGUUUAGGUGGUACGAAAAAAAUUUUAAAAUUACUAGUCAACGGUAAUGUAAGCGUAAGAUUGCCGAAACCAAAAUUAAUUGAAAUUUCAGCUCGUCUAAAUAUCUUAAAAAAAUAUAUAUGUAGUGAGUUUUGUCGAAAACCUAGAACACUUGACGAAUUGGAUCGCUGGAAAGCUACGGAAUUUCGACAAAUAUUGCUGUACACAGGACCAGUUAUAUUUAAAGAAAUAUUGACUGUUGACCAAUAUAAUCAUUUUCUGUCUUUUAGUAUAGCUAUCAGAAUUUUUGCUCGAACAAACAAAAUCUUUAUUUGUACGCUCACAAAUUGUUAACUUAUUUUGUGCAAAAUUUUGAAUUAUUUUAUGGACUAGAAAAUAUUACUCACAAUGUUCAUAUGUUAACACAUUUUAUUUCAUGAUGUAAAGAAAGUUGGUCCUUUGGACAACUUUAGUGCAUUUAAGUAUGAAAGUAAAUUGUUUAAAAUUAAAAAUAAAAUGCAGUCGUCAUCGAAGCCUUUGCAACAAAUUUACAAUAGAAUUGUAGAAGAGCAAAAAUUAAUACAACCAGUUAUUAGUUCAUAUCCAUAUUUAGAGAAUUUUUUGGGUAUUUCCGAUUCCAAUGAGGAGCUCUUUGAACGAAUUCAGUUCCGAAAUUAUAUGUUAUCCAUUAAGGCACCUAAUAAUUGUUGCUGUAUACAGGAUAUUUUAUUUGAAAUACGUUCAAUUAAAAAAACACACAAUAAGAUAAUAUUGUUAGGUGUCAAGUACCUAAAUACACAACCUUUUUAUUUCGAUCCCUUGAACUCUCUAAUUUUGGGUAUUGGUGUGGUUAAUGAUAACAACAUUCUCCCUGCCACAUAUGAUAUCAGCUGCGUCACCAAAAAAUGUUUAAAGAUGCCUACCGCUUUACCAAAUUCAUAUAUUAUCAUGCCCUUGAUCCACUUAUAAGGAAAUUCCAUUAUGUCUUAUUGAUGCAGUUGAUGAGAAUUAUCAAGAAUACUCCUUGACAUUUUCUAUUUUUUUGAAUAUUAAACUUUCAAUUAAUUUUUAUAUUUAACUUAAUUGUUCGACCACAUUGGCUUAUUAAACUUCAGGUUAUUUAACAAAUGUUAAUUUUAGAAAUCUGUUUGAAAAAUAUCUUUCUUAGAAGCAAACAAGGGUGCAUGGUAUCUGAAAAAUAAGUAAUCUCCAAUUACAUGUCAAAUCGCCAAUCAGUUCACCAGUAUUCUUAAGUUAAAUUAGAAUGUAAAAACUCAGUGAUAAUUUUGCACCAGUACAGUUGUUUUGAUAAUUGAGUACUAAUCCAGUUAAUACUGAAAUUUAGUCUCAUGAUGAAAAAUGACCAGUUUUCAUAAUUCCAAUUUGGACACAGGAAAUACUCGGAACAAUUCCUACGGAUCUAAAUUUUGUUUAAAGAUAAUUCCUCACCUUUCACCUAUAACUAUAAUUAUCCGCGAACUGCUUAUUUGUAAUUUUGAUAUAUAGGUAUGUCAUCUUGCGUAAAACUUGUGACUGCUCUUAAUUCAUUUGCAGAUGCAGCAGUAUGCAGUUGUCCGUUUUUUAAAGGAAUAUAUCAACGGCGAAAAUGUGGUGUCUGAAGUGGCUCUCACUUGGCUACACGACAAUAAUUCAGUGUGUAAAUGGCCACCCAGACAUGAUAGCUAUCACAUAAGAAAAUAUACCGUUCCACAACCAGAUUGGACAGACCAUCCCGUAGAGUGCGAGCGUAUAUGCGACUCUAGAGAAGAAGCUCGCAAAAAAAGUGUACGAGAUCCCGAAGCUGGGAGCAGUACGUCGUCAGAGAUCGACAUGGGGAGGUCAUUAAG
Photinus pyralis (common eastern firefly) is the source of this 3494-nucleotide long non-coding RNA. RefSeq lists it as uncharacterized. The record is from RefSeq and is a predicted model, not a curated record. Lineage: Eukaryota; Metazoa; Arthropoda; Insecta; Coleoptera; Lampyridae. The transcript has 3 exons.